GGGCGCAGCCUGAUGGAGCACACCGCGUGAGUGAAGAAGGGUUUCGGCUCGUAAAGCUCUGUUGUUGGAGAAGAACGUGCGUGAGAGUAACUGUUCACGCAGUGACGGUAUCCAACCAGAAAGUCACGGCUAACUACGUGCCAGCAGCCGCGGUAAUACGUAGGUGGCAAGCGUUAUCCGGAUUUAUUGGGCGUAAAGCGAGCGCAGGCGGUUGCUUAGGUCUGAUGUGAAAACCCUCCGGUUUAACCGAAAAAGGGCAUCUAAAACCGGCGACUUGAUUGCAAAAUAGGAGAGUGGAAUCCCUGUGUAGCGGUGGAAUGGGUAAAUAUAUGGAAAAACACCAAUGGCUAAGGCGGUUGUCUGGGCUGCAACUGACUCUGAGCCUGAAAGCUUGGGUUGCGAACAGGAUUUGAUUCCCUGGUUAUCCAUGCCUAAAACCAUGAUCGCUAGGGGUUGGAGGGUUUCCGCCAUUAUUGGCCGAGCUA
This 485-nucleotide ribosomal RNA is filed under the name Limosilactobacillus reuteri. Its description in RNAcentral is "bacterial SSU rRNA". It matches the Rfam family "Bacterial small subunit ribosomal RNA", at positions 373 to 854 of the family's 1533-position model. Lineage: Bacteria; Bacillati; Bacillota; Bacilli; Lactobacillales; Lactobacillaceae. The record is from RNAcentral.